Long non-coding RNA from Onychostoma macrolepis, 1378 nucleotides. RefSeq lists it as uncharacterized. The record is from RefSeq and is a predicted model, not a curated record. NCBI's taxonomy places the organism in Eukaryota, Metazoa, Chordata, Actinopteri, Cypriniformes, Cyprinidae. The transcript has 2 exons.
GUAUAGUUUGAUGUGUUUUCUCAGGUUUUUUGUUUUGUUUUAAAAGGCCCUUGUUUGUUGAGAACUUAAUUUCUUUAUGAGACUUGCAAGCACUUCCUGUCUCUUUCCUGAUGAGACGUGCAGCACAGACACCUUCAAAUGUUGAAUAAGAAGAACGACACAGACAACACAUCACAACAGAACCACAACAGGGGUAAGUCUACAACCGUUACAUUUAAAAUAUAUAAAAUUCAAUGGAAUAUUUAAAUAUGAUUGCCAAUUUUACAUUCCAAUUUAAACACAUUUUUACUAAAUAGAACAUUAUUGAAUUGUGUUUGACAUCUGUAACACAUCCGAUGUCCCUGAAAAUGUGUUACCAGAACAAAUCAAAUGUCGAAUGUGAAUAUGAAUAAUGUGUAUCAUUUUGUUCAUUGUAGGUCUUAUGUCCACCAUGUUAACAUCUUUUUCAUGGAGGAGCUUGUGAAACAAACUACAAAUAUAUUAAGCAAAGUAAACCAAAACUUAUAACACAAAACAAGUUGAUAUUUGACAUCUAAACAUCAGAAGAUGUCUUCAGCACCAAAAUUAAUAUCUGCCUUUAUGAUUGGAGUGACUAAAAGUGCUCUUUUCAAGUCUUUUCCAACAAGUCUUUUGGCGAUCCUCUUGGAGGUUUUGGCCGAUUACACAUUUUUAUGCCCUUGUGAUUCUGAGAUGAAUACAACACUGACUGGCCUUAUCUUCUGUGCACCUGCUUGUUUUGCAUUUGCUUUAACAUUUCUCUUUCUCCUACAUGCUAAAGAAAAACAAGACAAAGACCAAAAUGACAAUGAAAACGAAUAUGGAAUAAAAACAGAAAAAGAAGUUAAAUAUGAUUAUAUUCUAAUUAGUCUGAUUCCAUCUGUUGUAUGGAUCAUUGGGUUGUUCUUUGAUGGGGAGUACAUCGCCUGUAGUAAAACAGACUGGGAAGGACUGUAUGUUUUUGAUGAUAAGCUAAAAAUAAAAUGGUGUAAACCUACUGAAUUGAUUCCUGGAAGAAAUCAGACUGAACUGCAAGGCCUGACUCUCUCUUUUAUUGGUAAAUCACAGGUUUGCGGUUAUGUUUUGCUUCUUCUCUUCAGCAUUGUGAUUAUAACUGUUGUAGCUUAUUAUAUGUACUACAACAAUGGUAAAAAGCCAAAGUGGGGCACUGGGGAAUUGAUAGUCUAAGAAAGAGGAGAGGAUCCUUCAACACAUAAGGAGAAUCUAGUGUUGCAGAAAAAGAAGGACAGUUUAAACUUUCAUUAUGAAAGAUUUUUUCUUGUGUGUGUGUGUGUGUGUAUAUGUGUGUGUAUAUAUAUACAUAUAUGUUUGUGCUGUCAAACGAUUGCGAUUGCAAAAUAAAAGUUUUGUUUACAUAAUA